AUUGAACGCUGGCGGCAGGCUUAACACAUGCAAGUCGAGCGGGGUGAUGGUGCUUGCACUAUCACUUAGCGGCGGACGGGUGAGUAAUGCUUAGGAAUCUGCCUAUUAGGGGGGGACAACAUCUCGAAAGGGAUGCUAAUACCGCAUACGUCCUACGGGAGAAAGCAGGGGACCACUUGUGACCUUGCGCUAAUAGAUGAGCCUAAGUCGGAUUAGCUAGUUGGUGGGGUAAAGGCCUACCAAGGCGACGAUCUGUAGCGGGUCUGAGAGGAUGAUCCGCCACACUGGGACUGAGACACGGCCCAGACUCCUACGGGAGGCAGCAGUGGGGAAUAUUGGACAAUGGGGGGAACCCUGAUCCAGCCAUGCCGCGUGUGUGAAGAAGGCCUUAUGGUUGUAAAGCACUUUAAGCGAGGAGGAGGCUCUUUUGGUUAAUACCCAAGAUGAGUGGACGUUACUCGCAGAAUAAGCACCGGCUAACUCUGUGCCAGCGGCCGCAGUAA
RNAcentral lists this ribosomal RNA (503 nucleotides) under uncultured bacterium. RNAcentral's name for it is "partial 16S ribosomal RNA". It matches the Rfam family "Bacterial small subunit ribosomal RNA", at positions 30 to 523 of the family's 1533-position model. The record is from RNAcentral.